UACGGGGGAGCAAGCGUUGUUCGGAUUACUGGGCGUAAAGGGCGCGUAGGCGGUCGUGACAAGUCACUUGUGAAAUCUCCGGGCUUAACUCGGAACGGUCAAGUGAUACUGUCGGACUAGAGUACAGAAGGGGCAACUGGAAUUCUCGGUGUAGCGGUGAAAUGCGUAGAUAUCGAGAGGAACACCUGCGGCGAAGGCGGUUGCUGGGCUGAUACUGACGCUGAGGCGCGAAAGCCAGGGAGCGAACGGG
RNAcentral lists this ribosomal RNA (250 nucleotides) under uncultured bacterium. RNAcentral describes it as "partial 16S ribosomal RNA". It matches the Rfam family "Bacterial small subunit ribosomal RNA", at positions 524 to 776 of the family's 1533-position model. The record is from RNAcentral.